This 73-nucleotide transfer RNA is filed under the name Camelus ferus (Wild Bactrian camel). It matches the Rfam family "tRNA". From Rfam's summary of the family: Transfer RNA (tRNA) molecules are approximately 80 nucleotides in length. Their secondary structure includes four short double-helical elements and three loops (D, anti-codon, and T loops). Further hydrogen bonds mediate the characteristic L-shaped molecular structure. tRNAs have two regions of fundamental functional importance: the anti-codon, which is responsible for specific mRNA codon recognition, and the 3' end, to which the tRNAs corresponding amino acid is attached (by aminoacyl-tRNA synthetases). tRNAs cope with the degeneracy of the genetic code in two manners: having more than one tRNA (with a specific anti-codon) for a particular amino acid; and 'wobble' base-pairing, i.e. permitting non-standard base-pairing at the 3rd anti-codon position. The record is from Rfam by way of RNAcentral. Lineage: Eukaryota; Metazoa; Chordata; Mammalia; Artiodactyla; Camelidae.
AGUGGGAUAGUUCAGUGGGUAGAGCUUGUGCUUAGCAUGCAUGAGGGCCUGGGCUCAAUCCCCAGUACCUCCA